AGGUAUGAAGCUGUGGUGCCGUCGUGUUUGUGGUGGCAGGUGAAGUGUCUUGUGCCCGUCUCUUUCCAGCCUGGGGGGCAGUAUGAGCUCUUCGCUGUGGUUGCACACGUGGGAAUGGCGGACUCUGGUCAUUACUGUGCCUACAUCCGGAAUGCUGUGUAUGGAAAAUGGUUCUGCUUCAAUGACUCCAAUAUUUGCUCAUUGUCCUGGGAAGACAUCCAGUGUACCUACGGAAAUCCUAACUACCACUGGCAGGAAACUGCGUAUCUUCUGGUUUACAUGAAGGCGGAAUGCUAAUGGAUAUGCCCAAAACCUUCAGAGGUGGACACACUGUCACUUUCCACUUCCGUCCUGGAUCUAUGGAGCCUUCUAAGAGGCUUUGAAAUGAGGAGAAGAAUUGUUUUCCAACUAUAUAAUUGAGGCUUAUUUAUAAUCAGGGAUAUUAUCAAAAUAUUUAACACAGAAACCCUGUAGGACCUGAUCAGUCAGGAUGGACGCUUUCACCAGCGGACCCGGCCAUGUGGCUGCUGGGUCUUGGGUGCUCCCUGCUGUGGUCAGCCCUUUAGUUAGGAGCCUGUGGGAGGUCCAGGUGCCCCAGGGAGGAGAGCAGUGGCAGUGGGGGGCAUCUGGAUGCUAAGGGUCAGUGGCAGUGGGUAUUUCAGUAUUUCACAACUGCUGUGCCCAGACUUGUGUGUACCGGCUGAAUAUCAGUGCUGUUUGUAAUUGCUCAGUUUUAGAACCAGUAUUAAUCCAUAUAAAUCAAGCAUUUUGUAACUGUUAUUCUUUUAUUCAGCAAACAUUUAUUGACAAUCUGUCCUCCAUAAGACAGUGUGAUAGCACAAUAAUGAAUAAAAUUCUUUUCCACAAA
Cebus imitator (Panamanian white-faced capuchin) is the source of this 868-nucleotide long non-coding RNA. RefSeq lists it as uncharacterized. The record is from RefSeq and is a predicted model, not a curated record. The transcript has 3 exons. Lineage: Eukaryota; Metazoa; Chordata; Mammalia; Primates; Cebidae.